Acanthopagrus latus (yellowfin seabream) is the source of this 377-nucleotide long non-coding RNA. RefSeq lists it as uncharacterized. The transcript is spliced from 2 exons. The record is from RefSeq and is a predicted model, not a curated record. Lineage: Eukaryota; Metazoa; Chordata; Actinopteri; Spariformes; Sparidae.
GAGCUGGUGUCCUCCGCUCCACCGGAAGCCUGGAGCUUUUGUAAUAGGCGUCGCCAGGGAGAUGCGUGAGGGCAGGGCUACCGCUCCGCGUCUCCACCGCUGCUGAGUGACUCCCUGCCCGACUCUCAACUCUCACAAAGCAAACUUGGACUGCAGAGACAGGUUCAUCACCAGUUCUCAAAGUACUGAGUCUCCACUUUAGACUCUGCAGGACCGUCCAGCUCUGCAGACCCUGGUCGUUUCCUCGAGGGGGAAGAAACCGGAGCUGCACCUUGUUCUUUCCUGGAGCGAGAAGUUCAUGAUUUACUACAUGUACACAAUAUCUAACAGUGUCACUGCUACAGUUAGACACGCAUAAUAAACCUUGUAAUGUCCUA